ACGGGUGAGGAACACGUGGGGAAUCUACCUCCUGGCGGGGGAUAACGAUCGGAAACGGUCGGUAAUUCCGCAUACGCUCAUGACCCGAGUGGGGGUGAUGAGGAAAGGGCUUCGGCUCACCGGGAGAGGAUCCUGCGGCCGAUUAGCUAGUUGGUGGGGUAAUGGCGUACCAAGGCGAUGAUCGGUAGCUGGUCUGAGAGGAUGGCCAGCCACUCGGGGACUGAGACACGGCCCCGACUCCUACGGGAGGCAGCAGCAAGGAAUUUUCCGCAAUGGGCGAAAGCCUGACGGAGCAACGCCGCGUGCGGGAUGACGCAUUUCGGUGUGUAAACCGCUGUUCGUGGGGACGAAGCACUGACGGUACCCACGGAGGAAGGCCCGGCUAACUACGUGCCAGCAGCCGCGGUAAUACGUAGGGGUCGAGCGUUGUCCGGAGUUACUGGGCGUAAAGCGUGUGCAGGCGGCUCAUUGCGCCCGGCGUGAAAGCCCCCGGCUCAACCGGGGAGGGUCGUCGGGGACGGGUGAGCUUGAGGGUAUCAGGGGCUGGUGGAAUUCCCGGUGUAGUGGUGAAAUGCGUAGA
This 580-nucleotide ribosomal RNA is filed under the name uncultured bacterium. Its description in RNAcentral is "bacterial SSU rRNA". It matches the Rfam family "Bacterial small subunit ribosomal RNA", at positions 102 to 694 of the family's 1533-position model. The record is from RNAcentral.